RNAcentral lists this ribosomal RNA (2251 nucleotides) under Dyadobacter tibetensis Y620-1. RNAcentral's name for it is "bacterial LSU rRNA". It matches the Rfam family "Bacterial large subunit ribosomal RNA", at positions 594 to 2925 of the family's 2925-position model. The record is from RNAcentral. Lineage: Bacteria; Pseudomonadati; Bacteroidota; Cytophagia; Cytophagales; Spirosomataceae.
UGACGGCGUGCCUUUUGCAUAAUGAGCCUACGAGUUACGGUCACUGGCCAGGUUAAUGUAUUUGAAUACAGGAGCCGAAGCGAAAGCGAGUCUUAAUAGGGCGAUUAGUCAGUGGCUGUAGACGCGAAACUUGGUGAUCUACCCUUGGUCAGGUUGAAGCGCUGGUAACACAUCGUGGAGGACCGAACCGGUAAACGUUGAAAAGUUUUCGGAUGAACUGAGGGUAGGGGUGAAAGGCCAAUCAAACUAAGAAAUAGCUCGUACUCCCCGAAAUGUUUUUAGGAACAGCGUCGUGGUUGAGUCAUGGUCAGGUAGAGCUACCGAUAGGGCUAGGGGGAGUCAAAUCCUACCAAACUCUGACGAACUCCGAAUGGGCUAUGAUAUACACGGCAGUGAGGGCUGGGGUGCUAAGGUCCCAGUCCGAGAGGGGAACAACCCAGAGCAUCAGCUAAGGUCCCAAAAUAUAUGCUAAGUUGAACUAAGGGGGUCCGACUGCAGAGACAGCCAGGAUGUUAGCUUGGAAGCAGCUAUACAUUUAAAGAGUGCGUAACAGCUCACUGGUCGAGCGGGGCGGGCAUCGAUAAUAAACGGGCAUCAAGCAUAUUACCGAAGCUAUGCGAUAGUAAUUUAUUACGAUCGGUAGGGGAGCAUUCUCACAGGGGUGAAGGUUUGGCGUAAGCUGGGCUGGACUGGUGAGAAAAGCAAAUGUAGGCAUAAGUAACGAUAAUGCGGAUGAGAAAUCCGCACACCGAAAGACUAAGGAUUCCUCCGCUAUGCUAAUCAACGGAGGGUUAGGCGGGGCCUAAGGUAUAGCCGACAGGCGAUUAUCGAUGGACAGCAGGUUAAUAUUCCUGCCCUUGCAAUGAGUGUGAAGGAGUGACGGAGUGGUGUGGUAUGUACGUACUGACGGAAUAGUGCGUUGAGCGGAACCUACGGGCGAAGCGAAUAUACGAAACGGCUUCCAAGAAAAGCUCUUGAAACAUCAGCUUAUUGCAACUCGUACCGUAAACCGACACAGGUAGUCGAGAAGAAUAUUCUAAGGUGCUCGAGUGAAUCACGGCUAAGGAACUCGGCAAAUUAACCCUGUAACUUCGGGAGAAGGGGAGCCUCCUCGCAAGAGAGGCCGCAGAGAAAUGGCCCAGGCGACUGUUUAGCAAAAACACAGGGCUCUGCUAAAACGAAAGUUGACGUAUAGGGCCUGACACCUGCCCGGUGCUGGAAGGUUAAGAGGGGAUGUCAUCGCAAGAGAAGCAUUGAAUCGAAGCCCCAGUAAACGGCGGCCGUAACUAUAACGGUCCUAAGGUAGCGAAAUUCCUUGUCGGGUAAGUUCCGACCUGCACGAAUGGUGUAACGAUCUGGGCACUGUCUCGGCCGUGAGCUCGGUGAAAUUGUAGUAGCGGUGAAGAUGCCGCUUACCCGCCACGGGACGGAAAGACCCCGUGCACCUUUACUAUAGCUUUGCAUUGUUUUCGGGUCAGGGAUGUGUAGGAUAGGUGGGAGGCUUUGAAGUUGUGUCGCCAGGCAUGAUGGAGCCAACGUUGAAAUACCACCCUUCGCUGGCCUGGGAUCUAAUCCCGCAGAAGUGGGAGACCGUGCAUGGUGGGUAGUUUGACUGGGGUGGUCGCCUCCAAAAGUGUAACGGAGGCUUCCAAAGGUUUGCUCAAUACGGUUGGUAAUCGUGUGUGGAGUGCAAUAGUACAAGCAAGCUUGACUGCGAGACCGACGGGUCGAGCAGGUGGGAAACCAGGGUAUAGUGAUCCGGUGGUUCUGUAUGGAAGGGCCAUCGCUCAAAGGAUAAAAGGUACGCCGGGGAUAACAGGCUGAUCUCCCCCAAGAGCUCACAUCGACGGGGAGGUUUGGCACCUCGAUGUCGGCUCGUCACAUCCUGGGGCUGGAGAAGGUCCCAAGGGUUCGGCUGUUCGCCGAUUAAAGUGGCACGCGAGCUGGGUUCAGAACGUCGUGAGACAGUUCGGUCCCUAUCUGUGGUGGGCGUAGGAAGAUUGACGGGGGCUGACCUUAGUACGAGAGGACCGGGUUGGACCUACCGCUGGUGAGCCGGUUGUUACGCCAGUAGCAUGGCCGGGUAGCUAUGUAGGGAAUAGAUAAGCGCUGAAAGCAUCUAAGUGCGAAACUAGCCUGAAGAUGAAUCUUCCACAUAAGGGUUGUUGUAGACUACGACGUUGAUAGGCUGCAGGUAUACGUAUAGAAAUAUAUUCAGCCGAGCAGUACUAAUUACCCAAUAGCUUGCACU